RNAcentral lists this ribosomal RNA (404 nucleotides) under uncultured prokaryote. Its description in RNAcentral is "bacterial SSU rRNA". It matches the Rfam family "Bacterial small subunit ribosomal RNA", at positions 355 to 776 of the family's 1533-position model. The record is from RNAcentral. RNAcentral also lists the same sequence under 1 other name.
UGGGGAAUAUUGCACAAUGGGGGAAACCCUGAUGCAGCGACGCCGCGUGAGCGAAGAAGUAUUUCGGUAUGUAAAGCUCUAUCAGCAGGGAAGAAAAUGACGGUACCUGACUAAGAAGCCCCGGCUAACUACGUGCCAGCAGCCGCGGUAAUACGUAGGGGGCAAGCGUUAUCCGGAAUUACUGGGUGUAAAGGGAGCGUAGACGGCAUUGCAAGUCUGAUGUGAAAGGCAGGGGCUCAACCCCUGGACUGCAUUGGAAACUGUAGUGCUAGAGUGCCGGAGAGGUAAGCGGAAUUCCUAGUGUAGCGGUGAAAUGCGUAGAUAUUAGGAGGAACACCAGUGGCGAAGGCGGCUUACUGGACGGUAACUGACGUUGAGGCUCGAAAGCGUGGGGAGCAAACAGG